Molecule: ribosomal RNA, 503 nt
Filed under: uncultured delta proteobacterium
Lineage: Bacteria; Deltaproteobacteria
Also listed under: 1 other name
Description: bacterial SSU rRNA
Rfam family: Bacterial small subunit ribosomal RNA
Source: RNAcentral
UCAGAGCGAACGCUGGCGGUAUGCUUAACACAUGCAAGUCGAGCGAGAAAAUGGCUUCGGCCAUGAGUACAGCGGCGGACGGGUGAGUAAUACAUGGAUAAUCUGCCUUUAGGACUGGGACAACCCUGGGAAACUAGGGCUAAUACCGGAUAAGACCACAGAAUCUGCGGAUUCAGUGGUAAAAGGUGGCUUUCGGGCUAUCACCUAGAGAUGAGUCCAUGUCCCAUCAGGUUGUUGGUGAGGUAACGGCCCACCAAGCCUAAGACGGGUAGCCGGCCUUAGCGGGUGAUCGGCCACACGGGGACUGAGACACGGCCCCGACUCCUACGGGAGGCAGCAGUGGGGAAUAUUGGACAAUGGGCGCAAGCCUGAUCCAGCAAUACCGCGUGAGGGAUGAAGGCCCUAGGGUCGUAAACCUCUGUCAGUUGGAACGAUGGGUUUGUAGGUUAAUACCCUGCAAACUUGACGGUACCUUCAAAGGAAGCCCCGGCUAACUCCGUGCC